This is a long non-coding RNA of Ictalurus punctatus (channel catfish), 423 nucleotides long. The record is from Ensembl. NCBI's taxonomy places the organism in Eukaryota, Metazoa, Chordata, Actinopteri, Siluriformes, Ictaluridae.
UUUUUGCACCUCUUUAUUACAGAGUCCUAAAACCAUGGUGGGACAAGAUUCCUACUCCGAAAUUUUCCACAAAUUUUGUAAAACAGGUCCCACAGUUUCUGUCAUUUCAAAACGAGGUCUCGUCUGUCAGUCUUGAACCAACAGCAAACCACAAGACAACAUGUGUGGAAUCUUCUCAAAUCCAGUGUAAAGACAGUCAAUAUAGCGUCGGUCUCGGAAAAGACGUCGAUUCGGUGCCACUGAUCUGCUCCAUGACAGACUACCAGAGCGUGGACCAGAACAGCUCUGAAGAUGUUCGGUGUGGGCUUGAUAAGGAAAGCCAAUCUACAAACCUCAACCAAUUGAAUGAAGUCAGCUCGGGAAUCAGCAAUAGGACAUAUUCACCAUCAAACUCCAGCAGCUCGUACUUUUUUAAACAGCCAG